RNAcentral lists this ribosomal RNA (510 nucleotides) under uncultured bacterium. Its description in RNAcentral is "partial 16S ribosomal RNA". It matches the Rfam family "Bacterial small subunit ribosomal RNA", at positions 28 to 507 of the family's 1533-position model. The record is from RNAcentral.
GACGAACGCUGGCGGCGUGCUUAACACAUGCAAGUCGAACGAAGAGCGAUGGAAGCUUGCUUCUAUCAAUCUUAGUGGCGAACGGGUGAGUAACGCGUAAUCAACCUGCCCUUCAGAGGGGGACAACAGUUGGAAACGACUGCUAAUACCGCAUACGAUCUAAUCUCGGCAUCGAGGAUAGAUGAAAGGUGGCCUCUACAUGUAAGCUAUCACUGAAGGAGGGGACUGCGUCUGAUUAGCUAGUUGGAGGGGUAACGGCCCACCAAGGCGAUGAUCAGUAGCCGGUCUGAGAGGAUGAACGGCCACAUUGGGACUGAGACACGGCCCAGACUCCUACGGGAGGCAGCAGUGGGGAAUCUUCCGCAAUGGACGAAAGUCUGACGGAGCAACGCCGCGUGAGUGAUGACGGCCUUCGGGUUGUAAAGCUCUGUUAAUCGGGACGAAAGGCCUUCUUGCGAAUAGUGAGAAGGAUUGACGGUACCGGAAUAGAAAGCCACGGCUAACUACGUG